This 253-nucleotide ribosomal RNA is filed under the name uncultured bacterium. Its description in RNAcentral is "partial 16S ribosomal RNA". It matches the Rfam family "Bacterial small subunit ribosomal RNA", at positions 524 to 776 of the family's 1533-position model. The record is from RNAcentral.
UACAGAGGUCCCAAGCGUUGUUCGGAUUCACUGGGCGUAAAGGGCGCGUAGGCGGAGAUAUAAGUCAGAUGUGAAAUCCUGGGGCUCAACCUCAGAACUGCAUUUGAAACUGUAUCCCUAGAGGAUAGAAGGAGAAAACGGAAUUCCACAAGUAGCGGUGAAAUGCGUAGAUAUGUGGAAGAACACCGGUGGCGAAGGCGGUUUUCUAUUUUAUUCCUGACGCUGAGGCGCGAAAGCAAGGGGAUCAAACAGG